RNAcentral lists this long non-coding RNA (1053 nucleotides) under Mus spicilegus (steppe mouse). Its description in RNAcentral is "lncRNA (ENSMSIG00000025733.1)". The record is from RNAcentral. Lineage: Eukaryota; Metazoa; Chordata; Mammalia; Rodentia; Muridae.
CAAUCCCCUUUAAGCAGAUCUAUAAGCAUCACAGAUGAACAGAACUUUCAACAUUCCGCCAUGAAUAUUCAUGAAGUAAGUUGUUUUUUGUUGCCUGCCUAGUCAGCAGUCAGAAAACACAUGGUGUGUGUUGGCAGCAUCUUUCCUAGGUAGAGGGCUAUGGACUGAGGCAAUGGCAGGAACCGGGACCUGUGAGGCUGACUGACAUUUCCAUCUGCAGAGAAGGCUGGUAAUUAACAGGAAGGAGUGUGCCUGCAGCAUUACACCAUCUGCUAGGGAAACGGCUCAAUAAGAAAGGCGCUGGAUAGCAUCUCAGCAGUGGCGCGAUCUGGUUCCGACAUGAGGCCGGGCAUCUGUUAGCAGAGGAGACAGACUAUUAGGAAAUUCGACUGGGAAUGAACAACAUGGAAAGAGUACUCUGACCUAGCCCAUAAAAGCAACUCUGUAGAAGCAGCGUCUUUUUUAUCUUACUUACACAAGUCUUCUGAAAAUGGUUUGCUGAGGGGCCAUUACAGAUCUGUUUGAACUAACACAAUGGAUUCAGAAAUGCUUGUUUGAUUCCAAAGUGAAAUUCUGGGAAUCAGGAUACAGCUGUCAUCUUUUGACAAUAGAACUAAUUUCAGAGCGAGGAUAUGAGUGACCGUGGAGAAACUUUUGACUCCAGCUCUCCGAGUCAAGUGAGAGAUCAGACCUUGUCAGACCUUGGAAGCUCCUUCCCAUUGACCAGGUCCACAGACUAUUUCCCACAGUCCAGCAGAUGGUGGAUGACUGGAAGACGUGUCUUUCUGUGUGUGCGUGUCUGUUACUAAAUCAGAGCCAUCCGAUGCGAUGGGCUGAGACCUCAUGGCACCAUAUGGGACUGAAGAACACAGAGACCUUGGAAUUUAAAUUCAUCUGAGAAAGACGGACACAUGCUUCAAAUUUAGAGCAUUAGUUCUUUUAUGGGGUCCUCUUGUGAAUGCAGAUCAUCUCACUAAUGCACACUGAUAUAUAAAAGGACUGGCGACAAACUUUUUAAAAUGUCAUUGGUAUUAGGAGAAAGAAACAGAUUAG